RNAcentral lists this ribosomal RNA (505 nucleotides) under uncultured bacterium. RNAcentral's name for it is "partial 16S ribosomal RNA". It matches the Rfam family "Bacterial small subunit ribosomal RNA", at positions 28 to 507 of the family's 1533-position model. The record is from RNAcentral.
GACGAACGCUGGCGGCGUGCCUAAUACAUGCAAGUCGAACGCACAGUUUAUACCGUAGCUUGCUACACCAUAGACUGUGAGUUGCGAACGGGUGAGUAACGCGUAGGUAACCUGCCUGGUAGCGGGGGAUAACUAUUGGAAACGAUAGCUAAUACCGCAUAAUAUUAAUUAUUGCAUGAUAAUUAAUUGAAAGGUGCAAUUGCACCACUACCAGAUGGACCUGCGUUGUAUUAGCUAGUAGGUGAGGUAACGGCUCACCUAGGCGACGAUACAUAGCCGACCUGAGAGGGUGAUCGGCCACACUGGGACUGAGACACGGCCCAGACUCCUACGGGAGGCAGCAGUAGGGAAUCUUCGGCAAUGGACGAAAGUCUGACCGAGCAACGCCGCGUGAGUGAAGAAGGUUUUCGGAUCGUAAAGCUCGGUUGUAAGAGAAGAACGGGUGUGAGAGUGGAAAGUUCACACUGUGACGGUAUCUUACCAGAAAGGUACGGCUAACUACGUG